Neurospora crassa OR74A is the source of this 161-nucleotide non-coding RNA. The record is from the annotation of a RefSeq genome assembly. NCBI's taxonomy places the organism in Eukaryota, Fungi, Ascomycota, Sordariomycetes, Sordariales, Sordariaceae.
GCGCGAUUGGCGUAGUGGUUAACGCGUCCACCAUCUCAUGCUGACCAUGCGGGUUGAAAUCUCCGCCGAAUCACUUGGAAAGACCGAGAUUGAGGGUACGUAGAGGUAGGUAUAGUUCAUAAGACUGGUGGAAGACCCAGGUUCGACUCCUGGAUUGCGCA